UUGGUACUAUAAAAUUAAUGAACUUUUACCACAUAUUUUUUCCUUUAGGAAACUGUAUUAGAUAUCCUUGACGAAGAUGCAAAUACAUUCAAGUCAGAAGAUGUUUGUAAAGAGAAAAACACUUCGCCAAAUGCUAACUUGUGUUGCCACAGUGCUAAAAAUAUUAUUGGAGAAAUUGACAAAUUGACCAAAGAUCUAGUGACUCUACGUGAUGGACUGCAUGAGCUAGUAACUUGCAAGAAGUCAGCAUGGUAUGAAAAGGUCAAAUCAAGAGAGAGAACACUUCCAGAUGAAAGGGAGUUUUGUGCUGCUGUCAGGACAAUAACAGAAGCUGUCAAGCUAAAACUAUCAGAUCUUAAAUACCAUUGUGCCCAUAAAAAAAAUGGAAUGCAUGGUCUGUACAGGCUGGUAUUUAAAGACAAGCAUUCUGCUAGCAAAACAGGUUUCCUCCGUUCGGUAUCAAAGGAGCCCAUUACAAAUCUUGUUAAUGCCACAGAGGUGAUCAGUGAACUGCAAAUGGAAGAGGCCACUCUGAAGAGGGAGCUGAAGCGGCUGCAGGAAGAGUGCAGACACAAGCUAGAUGAGAUUGCAGAAGGGCUGGUUGGAGUGAUUUGUAUCCCACCUAUGAAAAGAUAAGUUCUCAUCAAGAAAGGACAAGGGCAUAGGGCUGUUUGAUCAGAAGACAUAUUAUAAACCGUUGCCUGAGAGUGGGUAAAAUGAAGAUCUGAAUGUGGUUCUAAUUCUCAGCCUUGAAAACACAAUUUGUCACUUCUUUAUAAUAUGUAUUGGGGCCAGAACACUGCACUCUUAAUGGUUCUGUCUGCUGCCCUUUAUUACUUACCUUACCAAUUAAAUUCUGCAGCAGGUGUUAGAGGGGGGUGGGGUGUUUUUAAAUCUCUCCUUCAUCUAGCUUUCUGAUGCUCCUGCCUGGUACAGGCUCACUUUAAGAACUCUUGUUUCUAGACACACAAUAUUUGCAGGUCUGCAGACUGAAAUACUAAUUACAUUCAACAUUUAUCAGCAAGUAAGAGUAUUUAUAACUAAUAAAAAACCAGGAACUGAGCA
Molecule: long non-coding RNA, 1065 nt
Filed under: Gopherus agassizii (Agassiz's desert tortoise)
Lineage: Eukaryota; Metazoa; Chordata; Testudines; Testudinidae
Description: lncRNA (ENSGAGG00000000754.1)
Source: RNAcentral